Molecule: small RNA, 2600 nt
Filed under: Rattus norvegicus (Norway rat)
Lineage: Eukaryota; Metazoa; Chordata; Mammalia; Rodentia; Muridae
Description: uncharacterized LOC108351462
Source: RNAcentral
GUUUCUCCUGUUUCCCUCGUUAUCCAUUUUUAAAAUUGGUUUUCAAUUGCGCGCUUUAUCAUUUUAAAAUUCUCACUGUGAGAAUAUAAACUUGCUUUUAAAUCCACUCGCUUAGAACUCGACCUGCAGCGAUUCCCCUCCCAGUGAGCAGUCUGGGCAGGGCCCAGUCACCAGAGCUGACCACUGACCCUGCUCUUCCCAACAUGCCUGCAUUAGAUACAGUUCAGCAGUGUGAAGAAGAAAUCUGCCUACAGUUACAAUAAAAUUAAUCAAUGGAUAGUCACAUGCACUAGAAGUUUCCAUAACUAAGGGGCAACACAGAAACCCAAGCUUUGUUACUCUUUGCUGAACAGUGUGUGGAUUAGAUAACUAGUAAGGCUGUCCCAUAUGUCCCUAACCAAAGGCAGCAAUUGUGAGCCCAGGAUGAAAAGGCACUGACACCUGUGGAAUUGCAUGGUGUUAAGACAGAAGAGAGAAAUUGUGGUAGACAGAGGUUUCAAAAGAAUGAAAAGAAAGGUUCUAGGUGCCUGCUUAAAAGAAUGGAAAAUGGUGCCUAGGAGAGAUAUUUGCACUACCAUGUUCAUGGUAGCAGUGAGACAGACUCUAUGACAGACUACAAACUGACAGUUCAGGAGAUGAAGCCUCGCCAAGAGAACUGGGCAAGUCCAGGCAAGCCCAGGCAAGUCAGUUACUGAAAAACAAAACAAAACAGGCUUCAGGCAGCCCAUCAGAAACUGCUCUACCAUCAGAAGUUGCCCCACCACCUGGCUUGAGGCAAAGACAACCCAGUUAGCAGCAGUUUGCAGACCUUCUCAGCAAUAGUUUCCAGAUUUCCCCAUAAACAGUUUCCAGCCCCCACACGCCUAGAGAUGGGUCCAACAGAUCGAGAUAGAGGUCACCUACCCUGGGAUUCCCCUAAUGUGUUUUAAAUUGGGUCUGCAAGCUCGCUUCGAGGUCUCUCCUUCUUUGUAGAUGGUAGACUCUAGCAUGCUGGACCUCUGCAGAAGACACUCUUUGCCCUUACAUAUUAUGUGAGCCGGGGCAUCAUCCUUCGGUGAGUCAUGGAUCCUUACAGAAUUACAAUAGGCACCAGCUGUAGCAGCCAUCAGAGAAUGAACGACUCAGCAAACAUAAGCUAAGUGUACACAGUGGAACAGUAUUCAGGCUUAAAAGCCAAGAAAGGGCAAAUCUCACUUAAGUGGGGGUGUCUACAGUAGUGGGGAUGACACCGACCAGUGUACACAGGCGACCGCCAGGGCUGGGCAUUGUCAGUACUUGGUGGGGGCAGAGUUUCAAUGGGGAAAAUGGGAAGUUCUGGUUAAUGACAAUGGUGGACAGUAAGGUGAUAUGCUCCUGGGUCUCAGAGCUGUGCGCUCAAACACGUGCACGGACACAUGCGUGCACAUCCACACAAGUGCAUACAAAACUCCCACCACCACUAUCUGCUAAGUCUUUGAAAGUUUGGUCUCGGAGGAAAAAAAGGAGGCAAACUAGAAGAGCUUUGCAGAAACAGUUAACAUCUUUCGAUCAUUUCGUGGCGUGUUGUUGCCCUUGUUUUGUGGUGUGUCUUUGUUUCCCUUUUUAUAGUAAAUAUGCGCGACAUUUGUGAUUGGUGGAAAGGGAACACAAACUGUGAAAUGGAUAGCUAAGGAUGAGAGGCCAGAGUUCCUCUGCCACCCCUCACCCCAGGGCCAGGGAGCCCCAUCCCCUGAAGUUUGUUUCUGCUCAGAAGCCUGAAACACCUCGGCCCUUCUUCCAUGCCCAGGACCUAUGCUAACUCCGGGUCGGAUGCUAUAUUCUGACCUGGAACGAUUGGUUUUGCUGCUGCUGCUGCCACUGCCACCGCCACCGCCACCGCCACUGACUCCUGGGGACUCAGGAGGGUGCUGACUCCGGAGGUAACCUGGUAGGCCUCGCCUGUUCACUUUGAGAUGCAGAACAAAGCCCUUUACAGAAAAAGAUUUGGAUUUUCUGUGCUAAGCCAUGGAAGUAGUUUUCUAGACAAAAGGUGACUUCAGAACCUUCCAUAUCGACAUUUACAGCCACGGGACUGGACUGGCCAACAGUGUGAGCAUUUGUGAGCAUGCUUGAACGCUUCUUCGCAACAGGAGUGCAGCCUCGUUUAUUAUGGGUCAGAGGAAGGGAACAAUAGGGCGCUAAGAGGAUGUCUCGUCUGCCCCGCUGCCUGGGGUAAGCCCAAAAUAACCCGCUGAAUUGGAACUCUGGCCUCUUUUCUCUGGCCCCUAGGGAAGCCUUUCACAACCAUCCUCUAUUAUCCGACCCAUUUUUAACAAAGUUUAGUAUCAUAUCAGAAAGCAUCCCAUGUGUCAAAACUCUAUCCCCACUGCUGCUGACUAACCGUUUAUUCUCAUGUGCAUACCGAGCAAACGUGGAGGAGAGUCCCUACCACCGCCACUGCCACUGCCGCCGCCGCCACCGCCGCCACCACCACAGUUCACCUGAACAUUUAAUCUGAACUCCAGCCAGUGCCUGGGUCAGUCGAUGGAACCUGAUGUCUGCCCUACCUCCACCAGCCUCUCCUGCCUGUUAACACAAAUAAAGGUUUAUUAUCUCCCUCCUCACCUUGUGAGAGGACCAGA